This 298-nucleotide long non-coding RNA is filed under the name Mytilus galloprovincialis (Mediterranean mussel). The record is from RNAcentral. Lineage: Eukaryota; Metazoa; Mollusca; Bivalvia; Mytilida; Mytilidae.
UGUAUAUAAUUGUUUCUAUAGAUCGUCAAUGGAGGAGCAUAAAAUAGGGUUAUGAAUAAAAUAAAUAACACAUUUAUGCGAAGAACAGAGCAUUUGUGUAAUGUCCAACCCACUAUUGUUUCGGCUAUUGUCUAAAUUAAUUGCUCAUGAAUAUUGAUUAGUUUGAUACGCACGCAUUUCUUGCGGAUCUUGAACUAAUUGAAAAUUUUGAUCAAAGGAUUAAUCAAUUAAUUUUCAUUUUAUUGAUUUCCGCCUCGUCCCCAACCACCUCCUUUUAAACUAAUAAAACUCAGGAGAA